GUGGGUGUAGCUCAGUGGUAGAGCGCCUGCUUAGCAUGCAUGAGGUCCUGGGUUCAAUCUCCAGUACUUCCA
RNAcentral lists this transfer RNA (72 nucleotides) under Camelus bactrianus (Bactrian camel). It matches the Rfam family "tRNA". Rfam says of the family: Transfer RNA (tRNA) molecules are approximately 80 nucleotides in length. Their secondary structure includes four short double-helical elements and three loops (D, anti-codon, and T loops). Lineage: Eukaryota; Metazoa; Chordata; Mammalia; Artiodactyla; Camelidae. RNAcentral also lists the same sequence under 2 other names. The record is from Rfam by way of RNAcentral.